Cryptomeria japonica (Japanese cedar) is the source of this 7749-nucleotide long non-coding RNA. RefSeq lists it as uncharacterized. The record is from RefSeq and is a predicted model, not a curated record. Lineage: Eukaryota; Viridiplantae; Streptophyta; Pinopsida; Cupressales; Cupressaceae. The transcript has 15 exons.
UCAUAAAUAUAUGUCAGCUCUUUAAAAGUUUUUGUUAAGACACUCAUGUCAUUACAUUCCAUGCCUUGCUGCCAUUGUAUUUCCACCUCUUGGCAUAAUAAAUGCACCUCCAGCCAGUAAAUAUUUAUCUCCAAGUUAGCAAGAGUUCUACUACUAUAGGGUGUUUUGUUUUCUUUGUUUUGUGGGACUCCAUAAGGAGACAAACCCCCAACAUGUCCUUGUGGCAUUGUAUGUAUUGCAUCUCCAUCAUCUACAACCACUCUUUAAGGAAAUAAUCUGCCACCCAUUCAAAUGAAGGAUACACCUUCUUAAUCUCUAGAACUUUUACAUUUUGUUUCUUGUAUCCUCCUGUGCCUAUAGGGAUCCAAUUUCACAACAGUGUUUGUUUCCCUUCAUCAAUGGUGGUUUGCUCCAACCUGACAAAAAACAUUGGUCUAUCCCUUAUUCGUAUUUAAUCAAAAUAUAACUAUAGUAGGAAACCUAUCCACUCAAAUUCUAGACCUAUUGCCACUUUACAUAAAUCCAUCUAGAAUAUAGUUCUUCUGCCUACAUCCCCAUGAUCCAUUGAAAAAGUGUAUCAAUGAUACAUAUCAUAUGUUCACAGAUCCUCAAACACCCCUAAUGUCCUCAAACAGUCAGUAAAUGAACUCCAAUAGGUAUGCAUAUUCCCACCCAUAUCCCAACCAAACCAUGUGAAAAUAAUUUUAUUUCAAAGUUCAAAACCCACAUUGGUUGUAUACUAAAUCUUCCUUCUUCAAGAAUCCUUUGUGGCUACUUCACAAAAAAAGAUAUUAUAAAUAGGUCAUCUAUCUUCCCACAUGCACCAUUCAGAAAAUGGUAUCAAUAGGAACUCCAUACCCACAUACAUCCAUCCCAGCAUUUUUCAUGGCGAAAUAGGUCAUCUAUCUUCCCACAUGCCCCAUUCAGAAAAUGGUAUCAGUAGGAACUCCAUACCCACAUACAUCCAUCCCAGCAUUUUUCAUGGCCCUUGUCACCAAAUUUUCAUGCAUCCUUGAACAUUCACUUAGCCAAAAAUUGACUUUUACUCCCAAUAGCAUCCAUGUAAUCACCACUUCCAAGAAACUGAUCUAUAAUAUGCAGGGCGUCUACCUCCAUGUUGAGCCCUUGAUGCAUGAUUUUCUACACUCCAUGAGUAUGAAUGCCCAAAUGACUCAAGAGUGCACCUAUUUGAAUACUUAUAGAUACAAUUGGGUAACUACAAAAUCAAAAUUCUGCUCAAAUAUGUUAUAACUUAUCUUACUCCAAAUGAACCCAGAAUCCGUUGUAGAGAGCACACCUAUUGCAUCACCUCCUUUAGUUUCUCCAUUCAUGUCCCAUGGAUUCCCUUCAUACAGUUCACAUGCUUCUUCCACUACCAUCCACAUGGGAUUCUUCCUAGUAGACCCAGGAAAGACCCUCAAACCAUCCAUCAUUGGAACAAAUAGAAAGGAGGGAAAAAGGUGAAGAUUGGUGUGAAAAUGUCUAUAGGAAUUCUUUGAGAAUCUCAACGAGUAAGGCUAGCAAAAAAACUGCCUCUUGAUAGGAUCCUGAUUAGUGAAUCCUCUUUUCAGCUGUGUUUUAUAGAGACAACUAUUUCAAACCAUGCAAAUUUGAACCUUGAUUGAAAUCUUAAUCUUCCAUUUCCAUGUUCCUUGAGUAUCUCUUAAUUUUAUCUCCACUACUUGACUUGCAAUUAUAUGUUUUGUCUAUUAGUUCAUAGUCACAUGAAUUUAUCCUUUUGUACUUGAACUUAAUUCAAACUAUGUAUAUGUUUUUAAUCUUGACUUUUUUAAAGAAAAAAGAAAACAGAAUAAGAAAUUCAACACUUACAACACCUUUUCUUCCCUGUGCUAAUGCUACCUGGAAUACAAUCUACCUAGAAAAUAUUAAUGUAAAACCAUUCCUUACACAAUUAAAUUCAGAAAUAACAUGUAUCAAUUACAGAGUUAGUUUUUGAUAGCUUAAAAACAAUCGAGGGAACAUAUUUGUGUGAAGGUGCUAAUAUGUAUUCUCUUGUAGAACAGGUUGAGGAAUGUUUGGAACUUGAGAAUGAUAGGGUUUCCAAUUAUUUGCAUAACAACAAUGAGCAGAAGUUAUUAAAUGUGAACAUUUAGGAUUGACAAUUAACUAUGAGGUGUUCAAUGAUCAUAGAACAUAGGGAUAUUAGCUACAAUCUUCUCCUCAUUUUUUUUUGGCAGAAAGAAAAAAAUGAAUUACUGACUCAUUAUAAGGACCAAAUUUUGAAAUUGGAUUCUAGUCUCCGGGACUUGCUUAGGGCUGACAAGGUAUAGAUUUGACUUAGCUCCAGAAACUUACUGAUUUGCUAGGAUGUGACAUUUUUUUUUGUUUAUGUCAGCCACCUAUAUUGAACAGUGCCCAUAAUUUGGUUUCUAUUAUAGAAAGAUGAUGUUUCAAGGAUGUUUAGACUAUUUCAUAAAAUAUAGCAAGUCUUGAAUCCAAUCACAUUUCCUUUCUUUUAUAAACAUUCUUUUGGACUGUCUUUUAUUAUGUUUAGACAUCCUGCCUAGUGCAAAGAUUUUCUAGCUGUCUUGUUUGUAUUUUUCAGUUUCUCAGUGUAGAAGGAACAACACUUUUUAAACAGGUAGAAGAUGCAGCAGCUAAUAUUGCAAUGUUUCUAUCUAUAAUCUUAAAUUGAUUUAUUAAUAACAGUUAAAACAUAGUUUCAAUUUAGUUAUAGAAAUAAUGCCCAUCAGCUAUUUGGAAGACUAAUAGUGGUUUUGUGACAUGUUUAUGUAAACUUGCAUGACUUGCAUGUUCUUCAGCAAGGGAGAAGGGAUACCAGUGGAACUCGGGAUCAGGUAAAGUUUUUUCCUUCCUUUUUUAGUUCACCUUACGCUAGUAUUACACUAAUAGAAGGCACACAAUCUUCUAUAACAUAUUUUUCAAUUAUGUCAAGCUUAAACUGUUGGCAUUUGUCAUUGAUGUCAACUAGAUUCAUUAAGUCUCAUCCUUUCAGAUUUCAAUCAGCCUCAUACAUAUAGAUGGUAUAAACAGUGAUAUACAUCUUUGAAAUGCGUCAUACUAUUUGUUGUUAAAUAUUGGAUUGCGGAGAUAUAUUAACUUAAUUAUAAGACCUGUAUGAGAUUAAUGAGAUUGAAGUAUUUUUAUGUAUUUGUUCUCUGUGUUGGGUUCAAACUUCUCUUCCCAUGAGCAAAUCUGGAAUAUACAUAUAUACACUUGUUUGUAAUCAACUUAUUGAUGUCGGAACUAAGCCUGUGUAUCAGAGAAAUGAAUAAUCAGAUAUCUAAAUCAUAUUAAAAUAAUUCUUAUGGUUGGUUACAACUGAAGCAGUUAUAACUUCUUUAUUUGUUGAGAUUAAGUAAUCUAUUUGUUAGUGGGAUAGUUAUAAUUGGCCACCGAUUUGUGGAGGUUAUGUUUGAUGGAACAUUUAUUUUUGUUUUAAUUGAGUCUCCUUUCAUCGAUAUAGACUUUUAUAAAAAGAAGACAUCAUAAUAAAAAGAAACAUGAUGGAAUAGAAGUUGGGAUAGUUGAUAGUUGUCAGUUAUAGUUUGUUGCAACUUAUUAGUAAUUUAUUAAUAGAUUGCAGUUGGCCGGUUCACUUCAUAUAUUUUAUUUAUACAUUCCUUUAUUGAAAAAUGUGUUGAGAAUGUGGAAACUCGAUAGAAAGAGUAUGUUAGUAUUUUAAAAGAUUUUUGUGAAAAAUAAGUAUUGGAGACGUGAGAGAAAAAAACCAACAUUUAUAUAAAUGCUGAGUGAUAUGAAGUCAGAAAACUUUAGGUAAACAGUGAAUUCUAAUACUGAAAUGAAAAGCAUCUUGGCAAUCAAUAAAAGUGUACAAAGUGAAAAGAGGAGAACAUAUCACAAACAGGAGACGUGAAGGGUAACAUUCCAGAUUUCAGUGACUUAGAUGUAAGUUUGAGAUUUAUCUCAGUAUAUCCAGGUAUUCACAUAUAUAAGAAUUAUAUUUGAUUCAGUCAUUACUCUUGAAUUAUGACAGAGUUUAAAAGAUGACCUGUUCCAAAUUUUAGUCCUCUUCUUUUGAGUUGUAACAGAUUUUUUAUGGCAAUUACUGUUAUUGUGAUUCAUUGAAUACAUUGUGAAGUUAAAUAACUCUUAGAACUCUCAGACAUGCAGAAUUACUUUGAGAAUCUGACAUGAUAAAUCAGUCUCAUUUGGAAGAUUCUUGAAAAUAUUUGGGAUUUGUUUUGUUACAGAUUUCUAUUGAUAUUGGACAUCUACUCUCAGAUUUGAACUUAUGAUUUUUAGUAUUCUCCAGUCUUGUCAAAAAAUUUAUUAUAUCAGAUUAACAAAGGUUCAUUGUUUUGAAAAAGAGUUAAAGCAGUGUUGAUUGGAGUGAUUUGCAGAUCUCACUCAGUAUUUAAGCACACAGAGAUGCAUUAAUUUCAGUGCAGAUCUGAUUCAGAUUCAUAACAUUCUUCUCUGCAGAUUUGUUUCAGAUAUACAGAGGUAUCUUGACAAUGUCAUUUCAUCAACAUAAUUUUUUAUGGCCUACUAGGAUAUAUGUUAGUACCAAAAACUGACUUUUAUGUAGUUUAGGUGUUCAAUUGAUUCGGGUUGAUAGAUAAACACAAUUUUUGUGCAUGUAGAAGUUAAAAUAAUUCAAAUGCUGGUGAACCUCAAAACUCACAACUUUUGUCUUAUAAAGCAUGCAAGAAAAAAUCUCUCUUAGACAACCAAACAAUAUAAUCUAGCGUGCUUAAAUUUUGUUUAAAUUUCUUAGUGAGAACAAAAACCAUGUUAAUGGGAACUGUACCAUGGAAGGGAAUUUUACUGCCAAGACAAUAGACCUGAUUUUUUGUCGAUUCUCUAAGCUUCAAAUAUUAUUAAGGUUCACGUUGAGGAUUAGAAUCAGACCAUGUAACAAUCCUGGGAUUCAACAAGUGAUCAAUACUACAGUUGUAGCAGAAGCAUAACCAUACCUAGUUGGAGAAGAUGCGUAAGCAAGGGCAUUCAUCGCUAAGGUCAGAUACGGAUCAAUACCCAGCAGCACACUGUAUAGUUCAUUCCAUUGAUUUUUCAAUUGGAGGACGUGUUAAAUUCAAGAGCAUAAUAGGUGGCAUGAUCUGUAUAUUUUAUUUCCCAUGGCACCUCCAAGAAAAUUUAGCAAGAAAAGGAGAAGGGAUGGUGGUUUUGCAACAGAAGCCUCCAUGAACAAUACUGAGUCAGACUGGUGGGAGGAGGUCUCUCACAAGCUCUCUACUACAGAGGCUGCAGAGCCCAUCAAAGCAGAGUCCUGAUGGUUGCUUCAAACAGAUGGCGACCCAGAAAAGACUUGCAGAGAUCAGAUCUAUGGAAAAUCGAGUACGAGCGUGAGAAACAAAGCAUGCAAACAUAUGGAUAGCACGCAUUCCCCAUUCUAGGUAGCUGUGGCCUGCAAGGGCUUUGCGUGGCAUUUGGUUGAGGAGAAAGUGUGCUCACUGCAGGUUCUGAUUGAUAAAAGGAAGACAUACUUCUAGGCAAUCUCGAAGAGGAUUAAAGAGAACGACAAACAUUUUAGGUAUGAUUUCCUUAGUAAAUUUAGGGUUUCUUUACGGUUUCUGAAAUUGCAUCUGGAGUUUUCUCCGCCUUGCUCUGACACGCAAAAUUCUUGGGCUGAUUCACUCCUUCCUCUGGACCAAAGCCUCUCAAGAAAAUUACAUCCCCUCUUUUGAAAAUUGAAAGCCCAAAUAAAUCCCUCAAAGCAUUUAGGGUUUUUUAUGGUUUCUGAAAUUGCAUCUGGAGUUUUCUCCGCCUUGCUCUGACAUGCAAAAUUCUUGGGCUGAUUCGCAGACCAUCAGCUUACAAAUUCCCGCCAUGCGGCAAGUAUAUGGUUUAUUUUGCAUUUUGCAAUUUUUCCCCCUUGUUUUCUAUAUGUUUUUUUUAGCGUGCUUUAUAAUUGAGUAUUUGUUUACUUGAAAUGGAAGAAAUCGGGUGUUUUAAACUUGCUAGUCACAUUGCAGAUGUGUGCAUAUUUUGAUUGGGUGUUUGAGUUUGUCUUUAGGAUUUUUCCCUGUUUUCUAUCCAACUUCUCUUAGAGCUCUCUGUAAUUCCAUGAUAUUGUGAUUUACUUCCAACGGAAAAAGUGAUUUGAUUGGGAACCAUCAACCAAGUAGUCAUAUUGAUAGUUGGGGACACACCUUAUAGCAUAAGAUGUUUCAUUUUUUACUUUCAAAAUCAUGCCCAGACCAUUGUUCCCAAAUUUACCACUCUUUUAAAUUUAGUGUUGUGGAAUGGAGUUGAAUUGGUAACCAACCUCUGACAUAGAACCUGCUCUGGAAUAAAUUCUCAAAUGAAUUGGCCACUUUCCAAAUAUUUCUAACAAAUAUGGUUUCAAGGAAUUCCAAAUCUUGGCUGCAAAGUAAAAAAUUUGAAGUUUAUAUAAACUGUGAAAGAGCAGAAACAGUAGGAGGCAUUGGUGUUUGAACAAAUAAAAAGAUUAGAAUGUCAAGUCCUACUAAAAGGAAAGCUAUAAAGUUUAGGGGAAUUAGAUGUUAAAGUGUCAGGUUGCUCCCUCAAAUAACAUCGUUAUCCAACAUCAGAGCUCAUUUUCUGUAUCUAUUGAUAUGAUGGGGUGGAAAUUGAUAUGAUAAGAGUGGAUAGAAUUUGAAAUGUCGAACUAAGAUGAAUUCUUAAUGUCAUACUUUACGUACUAAUUUUUAGGAUAUGAUUUCUUAUCAUAUAUGUAUGUACUGUAUUGACAAAACUCUUGGCAUUUUUGCUGGUCAUAUAUGGACAUAUUACAAUUGAUCAAGGUUAGCCUAUGAAAAGUAAUAUCCUGGAAUUAAUAGUCCUUGUGCAAUGCUGCUUUUUGGAUGCAUAUUUUAUCAUAUUUGUUUGCAGCUAAUGAAAGCUAAUCUGUAAAUUGUUUUGGUCUUUAAAUAAGAGUCCAUGAUUCUUGCAAUAAAGCCAAAAUGCUCUGAAUUUUUUAUUCAUGGUCUGUCAAGCAGUAAUAUUAAGAAUUUGAUCUUAGAUGCAAAUUGUGUGAAGUAUCUUGAUUUAAGCUUUUUUAUAUGCUCCAAUGCUUGGUAUCUCCCUCCUGCCCCCAACCAAGUGAAAAUCAUGGCAAAUGGCAUUAUAGAUUGAGAGAGUAAAUACCGGAACAUCAAGCGGCUGUGAGAUGUUGAUAGGGGACCAAAUGUUCCAAAUUGAUGACAUCACGCUUUCAGCGAUCGAUUUUGGCCUACAAAGUUAUACAGGUACCCCCUCCGCAUCUAGGACUCGUCCUAAGAAAAAUAAUUCUUCGAAGACGCCAAAACGUCGAAAGAAGGGGCCAUUGAGCUAUGUGGAUUUGUUGAAUGCACCUGAUUCGCCUAUGGAUCAAGAGAGGGAAGAGGAAAUAUCCAUAGCUAUUUCAUCAAUGGCAAACCCUCCUCUGUGCACUGGAGAAGCAUUUCAAGAUUCGCUAAUAGUGACAGUUUCUCUAUCGAUGGUGAGCCAUCCUCAGUCCAUUGGAGAAGCAUCUUAGGCACGAGGCCAUAACGUGGAUCCAUUUUAGUAUGUCUUCAAGAAAAAUCCUAAGAGUGACAAGGAGAGGAGAGCAAAGACAUUAGCUCCUACAUCAGCUGAUUAGCCAUCUAUAGAGCUGCGUACUACAUCGAAGAGGCUUAAUUUUGAUGAUCCACCACAAGUUUAGGAUCAUAUAGUGUUAGUUUUGGUCAUAUAAUUACCAAUACAUGUAUAUAUAUUCUACAUUUUUAUUGUAUAUUGAUUUGGACAUGGCAUAUGCCACAUUUUUGUAAUUCUUGUAUUGACUUGGCAGACAUGCCU